GCUUAUUUGAAUUCACCAUUUUUGCAUAAUUAGGAUGAACUAAUUUAAGUUGCAGUUAUCCUUUUAAAUGACUUAACUGAUGUCUGCUUAGAUACUCAAGGCCAUGUGAUUAGUGGAGUCAUCCUGAACAUCACUGUCUCUUAAGGUUGGAAAGUAUCAGUGAACCUUAUGAAGCCUGGAAAUAGAAGUUUCAAGCUUGACCUUUUCUCCAUUAAGGAAAAAGGGCCAUGCUUCCUACUCUGAAAGUUGAAGAGGCCAGAUACCUUCUCUCAAUGAUCACUGAAAGCUGAGAAGUGGACGACUGAUCUAGAAUCAGCCAACGGGUCCUCUCAUCCAGGGUGUUACAUUCUGAGAGCAUGGUAGAAAAUCCAAGGACACUGAGAAUCACACUUGGUGCUGAGUGUCCAGUUGUGUUCAUGGCAUCAACCUGACCAGACUGGUCCUGGGAGCUCAUCCUGGCAUGUCCUCAGCUGCCCGGCCUCUCUUGGUUCCCAUCUCUGUUCUGAGCCGGCUCCCUGUGGAGUCGCUGAGCUCUCUGAGACUCUUCUAUGAAGCUUCUCUUCUGCUUAGCAUAAAUUAUGAACCUUCUCCCUUUGCCACUGGACAUAUAAAUGGCAAAGUUUCUGCCUCCAAGAUCUAACAAUCUAAGAGGAAGAUGUUCACCAGAAAUGCUAACUGUAACGUAGGAGAUGAGGACUAUUCUGAAGUUUGGAGACUAAGUACCAGUUUCCUUGAGUGACAACCAUGAAGUUCAAGAAGGAAGAAACUUAUCUUCAGAUGCAGAGGAGGGCCCCACUUGGUUUAAGCCACUCAAAAUAAUGACAAUUCUUUGCCACUCAGAAUAAUGGCAAUUCCUUGUCAUAGUGAUUGAUACAGUUUAAGCCAAUCAGAGCAUAACAUUCCUGUAGCUACAGAGAUUGUAUCUGGGUGGUCCAAUCAGAGUGAAGCUUGGGACUUUUGUAUCAUGGUUAUAAACACUGGCCUUGGCCUUUGCUCUGCCCUUGGAUGUGAAUGUGGAGCCACCAUGAAUGCUGCUGGCAGUCAUUUUAUGAAGCCAGCCCAAGAACAAAGCCAACAUCUGAAGGCAGACAGAACUGAGAGAACUGCAGAAAAAUUGAGCCAGUGCCUGGACCAAACCAUGCCUGGACCAAGCCAU
This 1156-nucleotide long non-coding RNA is filed under the name Equus asinus (donkey). RNAcentral describes it as "lncRNA (ENSEASG00005034779.1)". Lineage: Eukaryota; Metazoa; Chordata; Mammalia; Perissodactyla; Equidae. The record is from RNAcentral.